AUGGUGGGGGGAGGCGAUAUUGACUGCAUGUCAUGUCCUAAACCAAGAUCCACAAAGAAUAAGAAGAUAACUCCAUUCGAGGAAUGGGAGAAGAAAAGAUUAAAAAUCUCUUAUCUACGAACCUGGGGUUGUUUGGCGAAAGUCAAUGUGCCAAUUCCAAAGAAGCGCAAGCUUGGACCAAAGACCGUGGAUUGUGUUUUCCUGGGAUAUGCUUUUCAUAGCAUUGGCUAUAGAUUCUUGGUUGUAAAAUCUGAGGUACCUGACAUGCAUGUCGGUACGAUCAUGGAGUCGAAUGAUGCGACUUUCUUUGAAGAUAUCUUUCCAAUGAAGGAUAUGGCUACCUCAUCUAAUCAGGAGAUGCCUAGUUCAUCGAACCAGGAACCAGUUUCAAUUACCGAACCUGCCAUUUCGAUGGAACACUUUGAAAAUCCUGUGGAGGAGAACAAUGAAGUUCCUACUAGGAGCAAGAGACAGAGGACUGCAAAGUCCUUUGGUGAUGAUUUUCUUGUGUAUCUCAUAGAUGAUACUCCCAGUUCUAUUUCAAAGGCCUAUGCAUCUGAAGAUGCUGACUACUGGAAGGAAGCGGUUCAUAGAGAGAUGGAUUCCAUCUUGGCGAAUGAAACUUGGGAGAUAACUGAUCAUCCUUAUGGGUGCAAACCAAUAGGAUGCAAAUGGGUAUUCAAGAAGAAGCUUAGGCCUGAUGGUACUAUUGAAAAGUACAAGGCUCGGCUCGUGGCUAAGGGUUAUACCCAAAAGGAAGGUGAAGACUUCUUUGAUACUUACUCACCUGUGGCUCGACUGGCCACUAUUCGAGUUCUACUUUCACUAGCUGCCUCACAUGAUCUUCUCGUUCAUCAAAUGGAUCUUAACACUGCUUUUCUAAAUGGAGAGUUGGACGAGGAAAUUUAUAUGGAACAAUCAGAUGGGUUUGUAAUAGAUGGUCAGGAAAGGAAAGUGUGCAAGUUGCUGAAGUCUUUGUAUGGACUCAAGCAAGCACCCAAACAGUGGCAUGAGAAGUUUGAAAGAACUUUAACAGCUGCAGGUUUUGUUGUGAACGAAGCUGACAAAUGUAUGUACUAUCGCCAUGGUGGGGGCGAGGGAGUUAUUCUUUGUUUGUAUGUUGAUGACAUACUGAUUUUCGGAACAAAUCUGAAUGUUAUUAAGGAGGUCAAGGAUUUCCUAUCUCGCUGUUUUGAGAUGAAGGAUUUAGGAGUGGCUGAUGUCAUUCUGAACGUCAAGUUGCUGAGAGACGAUGAUGGUGGGAUUACAUUGCUUCAAUCUCACUAUGUGGAAAAGAUCUUGAGUCGCUUUGGCUAUAGUGACUGCAAGCCCUCUCCAACACCAUAUGAUGCGAGUGUGUUACUUCGAAAGAAUCGAAGAAUUGCUAGAGAUCAAUUGAAAUAUUCUCAUAUUAUUGGCUCGCUUAUGUACUUAGCCAGUGCUACAAGACCUGACAUCUCUUUUGCUGUUAGCAAACUAAGUCGGUUUGUCUCAAAACCAGGAGAUGUGCAUUGGAAAGCUCUAGAGAGAGUUUUGUGUUAUUUGAAAGGCACUGCGAAUUAUGGAAUUCACUACACUGGGCACCCAAAGGUGCUUGAAGGGUAUAGUGACUCAAACUGGAUCUCAGAUGUUGAUGAGAUAAAGGCCACGAGCAGAUAUGUAUUCACUCAUGGAGGUGGCGCUGUUUCUUGGAAGUCUUGCAAGCAGACCAUCUUAACGAGGUCAACAAUGGAAGAAGAACUCACAGCACUAGAUACAGCUACAGUCGAAGCAGAUUGGCUUCGUCGGCUCUUGAAUGACUUGCCGGUUGUUGAGAAACUUGUACCGGGUAUCCUUAUGAACUGCGACAAUCAAACUGUG
RNAcentral lists this ribosomal RNA (1860 nucleotides) under Triticum aestivum (bread wheat). RNAcentral's name for it is "partial small subunit ribosomal RNA". Lineage: Eukaryota; Viridiplantae; Streptophyta; Magnoliopsida; Poales; Poaceae. The record is from RNAcentral.